This 1317-nucleotide long non-coding RNA is filed under the name Elaeis guineensis (African oil palm). RNAcentral's name for it is "long non-coding RNA (EGUI_LNC012592)". The record is from RNAcentral. Lineage: Eukaryota; Viridiplantae; Streptophyta; Magnoliopsida; Arecales; Arecaceae.
GAGUAUGUAUUGGUGAUUCUUGAUUGAUGAAUUUCCUUUUUCUUUUUUUGGUUUUGCGAGGGAAAUCCUAUAAUUCCUAAAUGCUAGGAUUUUCACUUUUUAUUUUAAUUUGUGUCUGUUUGUUCUAUGUUUUGUUUGAUUCUGUUGGCUUGUAUGGGAUUUCUUAAAAUCCCCAAGGGAUAUAGAACCAGUAGGAUGAUUUUGCUUGUGGCUACUGUUGUCGCCAAAAUCUGAGCUAAAUCGCUGAGGUCGGAUGGAAUCUGAGGUGAAGCGGUGAGGUAUGCUCUGAGUUAAAAAGUUCUGCUGGGAGAGUCUUGGCGGCUUCGGUCUGACCAGGAUUUGUUGGGCAGGGGACUCUCUGGAUUCCAGAUGCACAGGAGAAAUUUGGGAGAGUUGCAGAGAAUGAGAGGGUGUGUGAGAUCUUAGAAUAGACUUACCUUGGGUCCCCCUGACCUCUUAUAUAGAAAGAGAGCUGACGCCCGUUACUGAGUAUGGCAGAAGCGGGGUUUUACUGAGUAUGGCAGAAGCGGGGCUUAACUGCUUGGUGAUGGUUCCAACUUGUGCAGGUGGUGAGCAUUAACUGCACUAAUUGUGUAGUAACAAAUGACCUGCCUGGGAUGAGCCAUAACUGCUUCUCAAUUGGCAGGUCUCGCCUUUAAUGGUUGUUUGGGGUGUCAUCCUAACCUCAGCUGGAUCCAAGGUUCCUAUGAGAUUGGCCGCUGCUGAGGAUGCAAGGUCUGGUCUAGCCAACCUGAGCUCAUCGACAACGAAAAGAGGGUUGGCCCAAUUAGGUAAGACCUUCUAAUCCAGAAGAAGAUCGAUCCUCUGAUGGUGAGCUAGAUAAGGCAAUCUCAAUCACAUUAGGAAGGAUCCACGUGACAGCCAGACGACAGCUAGCUUGCCCUGCAUCUCGAAUAGAAAACAUGAUUUUCAAUAGAUAACGGCUAGCGCUCAGUGCAGGAAGGGCCGUUGCCCCCUCUCUAUAAAUAGAGGAGAAAAGGGAGAUUCAAGGUAAGUUGAAACCCAUCGUAGAUGCUCCUCUCUCUGUCUCUUUUGUUCUCCAAUUAUUUACUGACUUGAGUGUCGGAGGAUUCUCUGAAAAUAAUUUCGGUCAGAAGCUUCAUUUGCAGGUUUCUCCUCCAUCGAUUGGCCCCACCCACCUCAGUUCACUCCAAUCUUGGCUGAUCUCAACUUCAGCUCGGUGUCGUUGAGUCCACCGACCUCGAAAUAUGCUUGAAAAUCGACGGCAAUAGAUUGGUGCCAGAAGAAGAAUCAUUUACAGCCCUAUUUGUGAAAGAAUCUUUUUCGACCAUCAUG